This is a long non-coding RNA of Nicotiana tabacum (common tobacco), 2108 nucleotides long. RefSeq lists it as uncharacterized. NCBI's taxonomy places the organism in Eukaryota, Viridiplantae, Streptophyta, Magnoliopsida, Solanales, Solanaceae. The record is from RefSeq and is a predicted model, not a curated record.
AUAAAGGCACUCAAGUUAAAGAAUGUAACAACCUUGAACAAGGAUUCCAAAUAGAAUAGCAGGACCUUUAUUUUUAAACUCGUGCGCUCUUAACUAAAGCGGAAGAUCUCAAACAGUGUAAAACCAUCGGGACAAGCCACAACAGCCCCAAAAAGGGUGAAGCAAUCACCCAUAAAAUCAAUUAUAAGCCAAAGAGGGGAGCCUUAAAGAGCCAUGGCUAAUAACCCCAUUGGAGUCAAUCUUUCUCAACCCUAUUCCAAUUUUUCGGGGAAGCAACUAUGACAUAUGGAGCAUGAAGAUGAAGACUUUGUUCAUAUCCCAAGAAUUAUGGGAUUUGGUGGAGAAUGGCUGUGUUGAAGAAGGAGUAACAGCUGAUUAUGUUUCUAAUUUAAUUGAUGUUGUCAAUCAAAUUAGAAAACUUGGUGAAAAUUUGAGUGAAAAGAAAGUGGUUGAGAAAAUCCUUAGGAGUUUGCCUAAGAAAUAUGAUCAUGUUGUGGCUGCAAUUGAAGAGUCAAAAUACUUGAAUGAGUUAACUGAUGAUGAGUUAUUAGGUUCUCUUUAUUCUCAUGAAGAUAGAAUGAAAAGAUAUGAUGAUACUCCUGUUGAGAAUGCUUUUUACAGCAAAACGCGGACUUAUCAUGGUGAAAAAAGUACUGGUGAAUCAAACAAUCAUGGAAAUUUCAACAGAGGGCAUGGUGGACCGUCAUCCCAUGGGAGAAGAGGAGGUCCAAGCGGUUGUCAUUCUUCUGAUAACAACCAGUGCCAUGGAAGCUAUGACAAAAUUAAAAAUGGAAGUCCAAAGCAGUGUUAUUUUUUGCAAGAGGUGCGGGCACAUUAAGAGGUUCUAUUUUUGUAGGAUGAAAGAGAAGCAGGCUAAUCUAGCCAAGGAGAAAGAGGAGGACGAGACAGAAAGCCUAUUCCUUGCUUGUUUUUCUGCAAAAGAAUGUUCUACAGAAGCUUGGUAUGUUGACAGCGGUUGUAGCAAUCAUAUGACAAGCAACUUGAGCUCUUUCAUCAAUUUGGAUAAGUCAGUCUCAAGCCGAGUCGCAAUGGGUGAUGGGACUGUUCGGGUAGCUCAAGGAAAAGGUACUGUACAACUGAACUCUCUUGAGUUAAAUUGCAUUCACAAUGUUUUGUAUGUGCCAGAUUUGGACUCAAAUCUGUGAAGUGUGGGGCAAUUUAUGUUGGAGGGGUAUUCACUUGUUUUUGAAGAUUUUGCUUGUUGUAUUUUCAAGGAUAAAUCUAAAGAACAUCUGUUGGCCAGUAUUCCUAUGGCCAAAAAUAAGAUUUUUCCUUAUUAUCUCACUUCAAAUGAUAAACAAGCUUUAAUUUGAGGGCUGCUUCACUUGAUGACGAAUGGUUGUGGCAUCAUAGAUAUGGGCAUUUAAAUGUUAAAACCUUGAAACUCAUGCAUGAGCAGAAUCUAGUUGAUGGCUUGCCAUUAAUAAAAAAUGUUGAUAAUGUGUGUGAAAAUUGCAUGGUUGGAAAGCAACAUCGUGACCCUUUUCCAAAGGGUAAGGCAAGAAGAGCUCCAAAACCAGCAGAACGGAUUCAUGCCGAUGUUUGUGGGCCAAUGAGCACUCUGUCUCUCAAUAAGAACAGUCUUCGUACGUCUGAUCGAGAUGAAAACAUAAUGGACCGAAGAAAGUCUUCGUAAUAUCGAGAUGGGAUCCAAAAAAGGCACAAACGGGCUUCGAGUUUCAGGAAUAGGUCAAAUACUGUGGUCGAAGUUAUUAUCGAGCUCGAGUCCGAAUCGAACUAUGAUGAGAUAUGAUGGAAUCGCGCUUAAGGGCCAGAGGUCAACCAAUACCGAGCCCAAGUCAUUACCGGACCCCGAGUCAGCAUCAAGCUCAAACCCGCAUCGAGCUCAAACCCGCAUCGAGUUCUAAAACUGGAAACCGACCAAUACUGAGUCCGAUCAAGAUCGAGCUCAUAGACAAGAGCCGUUGCAGCCGCACUAAGGGAGAGAAUCUCGGCGGAAAUUAGAAAAAAAUUGAUUUAUCAUGGUUCCCCACUAUGUAUUUUUAAUUAUAUUUAAAGUAGGGUUCCCCCACUAUAAAAGGGAUGACGAUAUUCCUGUAAAAGACCAAGUUUUGGCAUACAUUGUA